RNAcentral lists this ribosomal RNA (437 nucleotides) under uncultured Clostridium sp. RNAcentral describes it as "partial 16S ribosomal RNA". It matches the Rfam family "Bacterial small subunit ribosomal RNA", at positions 341 to 792 of the family's 1533-position model. Lineage: Bacteria; Bacillati; Bacillota; Clostridia; Eubacteriales; Clostridiaceae. The record is from RNAcentral.
ACGGAAGGCAGCAGUGGGGAAUAUUGGGCAAUGGGCGAAAGCCUGACCCAGCAACGCCGCGUGAAGGAAGAAGGCCUUCGGGUUGUAAACUUCUUUUAUCAGGGACGAAGAACGUGACGGUACCUGAUGAAUAAGCCACGGCUAACUACGUGCCAGCAGCCGCGACAAUACGUAGGUGGCAAGCGUUAUCCGGAUUUACUGGGUGUAAAGGGCGCGUAGGCGGGGAUGCAAGUCAGGUGUGAAAUCUAUGGGCUUAACCCAUAAACUGCAUUUGAAACUGUAUCUCUUGAGUGUCGGAGAGGUAGAUGGAAUUCCUAGUGUAGCGGUGAAAUGCGUAGAUAUUAGGAGGAACACCAGUGGCGAAGGCGAUCUACUGGACGAUAACUGACGCUGAGGCGCGAAAGCGUGGGGAGCAAACAGGAUUAGAUACCCUGGUA